This is a long non-coding RNA of Oreochromis niloticus (Nile tilapia), 404 nucleotides long. RefSeq lists it as uncharacterized. The transcript has 2 exons. NCBI's taxonomy places the organism in Eukaryota, Metazoa, Chordata, Actinopteri, Cichliformes, Cichlidae. The record is from RefSeq and is a predicted model, not a curated record.
GAAGGGGCGGAGCAAAAAGUGUGUGCAGGAGAGGAGUCAAGCAGAGAGAGCUCCUUUUUCAUGAAACGGGAGUAAAGUCGUGAACUUAGAGGAGAGAAACAAAUUAAAGUAUCGAUCAUAUACCACUACCAACGUCCUGAUCGAUACGUGCAUCGAUCUGCCCACCCUUGUCUCCUGGAUCGUAGCUGAGAUCAGCGUGAACCACGUGGGUCUCUGCUCCCUGAUCUGUUUGCUGUGUUUGGAAAGAGUUCCAGCUUCAUCACGGAGUUUCUCUCGGUUUGUGGGCUCAUCUAAAGCUGAUCAGCAGGAGGAGAAGAGUCUGACGGAGCACCAGACGAACAUUUUCAACCAUUUGGACUCAGCUCAGCUGCUACAGUGGACAAAAAUGUCAUCAACACAAAAGG